Molecule: long non-coding RNA, 643 nt
Filed under: Bactrocera tryoni
Lineage: Eukaryota; Metazoa; Arthropoda; Insecta; Diptera; Tephritidae
Description: uncharacterized LOC120782010, transcript variant X2
Source: RNAcentral
UUAACGUGUCUACGGUAAAAUACAGAGACAAGAGGACGGAUAUGCAUACGCAUCCAGUCGUUGUUGUGUGGCAAGAGCACGAGCGUGCAUUUUGCCGGUUGCCGGUUUUGUUUUCCUUGGCCAGAAUAAUUGGUUGGUUGGACGCGUUAAGCUAUCGACUGACGCGUGGCGCAGCUGAAAAUAAGUGUCGUGAGUCCUUUAAACGGCUUUUCUAUGCUUACUCGGUAGCACACAAAUAUCCUGCCAGUGACUAAAGCUGUGUGUUGGCAAAAUUCGGAUUUCUUUGGCGCCGCGAUCUGAAGGUGCCGUUGGAAAGAGGAAGUCUUCCUGAUUAAAAAAUACAUAUACCAGAUCAUAGGUACCGCAAAUGUUCUUAUUCGACUUAAAGUUAAAAAAUUCCAAAAGUCCAACAUUUCACUACAUCUAACAUACUUUAUUCAAAUUUUUCACUACAAAUUCAUUAAUUAGCAAAGGAGUUUAAGCGGGAUAUUCAACUAAUAAAAUAAAUUACCAAGCUUCACAUCAUGCCGUUAAAAUUCGCAGAACUUUUUUUCUAUGCUAGUCAAAUGUUCCUUAUCUUUUUUAUAUUUCUUUCAAGUGGGAAAGCAAAUUUUUAAAACACUGCAUUCAUUGGUAAAUCGAA